This 465-nucleotide ribosomal RNA is filed under the name uncultured bacterium. RNAcentral describes it as "partial 16S ribosomal RNA". It matches the Rfam family "Bacterial small subunit ribosomal RNA", at positions 28 to 507 of the family's 1533-position model. The record is from RNAcentral.
GACGAACGCUGGCGGCGUGCUUAACACAUGCAAGUCGAACGGAAAGGCCCCUUUGGGGGUACUCGAGUGGCGAACGGGGGAGUAACACGUGGGUAACCUGCCCUUUACUUCUGGAUAACUUCAGGAAACUGGGGCUAAUACCGGAUAGGAAUCCUUGCUGCAUGGGGGGGGUUGGAAAGCUUCGGCGGUUUUGGAUGGACUCGCGGCGUAUCAGCUUGUUGGUGGGGUAGUGGGUUACCAAGGCUUUGACGGGUAGCCGGCCUGAGAGGGCGAGCGGCGACAUUGGGACUGAGGGGCGGCCCAGACGCCGACGAGAGGCAGAUGUGGGGAAUAUUGAACCAGGGACGGCGGGCUGAUGCAGCAGCGCCGCGGGCGGGAUGACCGUCUUGGGGUUGUAGACAGCUAUCAGCAGGAGCGAAGCUUGUGGUGACGGUACCUGCAGAAGAAGCACCGGCUAACUACGUG